This 72-nucleotide transfer RNA is filed under the name Camelus dromedarius (Arabian camel). It matches the Rfam family "tRNA". Rfam says of the family: Transfer RNA (tRNA) molecules are approximately 80 nucleotides in length. Their secondary structure includes four short double-helical elements and three loops (D, anti-codon, and T loops). Further hydrogen bonds mediate the characteristic L-shaped molecular structure. tRNAs have two regions of fundamental functional importance: the anti-codon, which is responsible for specific mRNA codon recognition, and the 3' end, to which the tRNAs corresponding amino acid is attached (by aminoacyl-tRNA synthetases). tRNAs cope with the degeneracy of the genetic code in two manners: having more than one tRNA (with a specific anti-codon) for a particular amino acid; and 'wobble' base-pairing, i.e. permitting non-standard base-pairing at the 3rd anti-codon position. RNAcentral also lists the same sequence under 1 other name. The record is from Rfam by way of RNAcentral. Lineage: Eukaryota; Metazoa; Chordata; Mammalia; Artiodactyla; Camelidae.
UGGGGUAUAGCUCAGUGGUAGAGUGCCUGCUUAGCGUGUGCAAGGUCCUGAGUUCAAUCCCUAGUACCUCUG